This 511-nucleotide ribosomal RNA is filed under the name uncultured bacterium. RNAcentral describes it as "bacterial SSU rRNA". It matches the Rfam family "Bacterial small subunit ribosomal RNA", at positions 19 to 518 of the family's 1533-position model. The record is from RNAcentral.
CUGGCUCAGAACGAACGCUGGCGGCGUGUCUUAAGCAUGCAAGUCGUGCGGCAAGGCGGGGCAACCCGCCCUAGAGCGGCGGACUGGUGAGUAACGCGUGGGUGAUCUGCCCUUGGGGAUGGGGAUAGCCAUUUAGAAAUAGUGGGUAAUACCGAAUACGUUCACUACUUCGGUGUAGUGAAGAAAAGCGCUUCGGCGCUGCCCGAGGAUGAGCCCGCGUCCAAUUAGCUAGUUGGUGAGGUAACGGCCCACCAAGGCGAUGAUUGGUAGCCGGCCUGAGAGGGUGUACGGCCACACUGGGACUGAGAUACGGCCCAGACUCCUACGGGAGGCAGCAGCUAAGAAUAUUCCGCAAUGGACGAAAGUCUGACGGAGCGACGCCGCGUGGGAAUGAUGAAGGCCGAAAGGUUGUAAAGUCCUUUUGUUGGGGAAGAAUAACCAUGGGAGGGAAUGCCCGUGGGAUGACAUGAACCGACGAAUAAGCCCCGGCUAACUACGUGCCAGCAGCAGC